UUGGAGAUUUACCACAGUAACUUUAUUGUUACUGUGGUAACUGAGUUAAAAGACUUGGGAAGUUACCUUGCAUCCAUUUGGAGAGUGAAUCACGCCAGGAGGAGUCUGGAUAAGCAAGGAGGAGUUUGGAUAAGGUCUGGUCAAGGCUAGAGAGCUUUAGACAGGCUGGCACCAGCUGGAAAGCUAAAGCAAGAUACCCAAGCAUGUGAGGAACCUUAUUGGCCAGUUUGAAUCAAGCAUCUUUGACUACACAUGCCUCUUAUCCUAGCUAGACUGAACCUGGACGAAAUUAUGUAUCCCUAAUCUAUAUGUGUUGUAAACUCUCUCAUUAAUCAAUCUAAUGGAGUUUUGAGUCUCUCUCUCUAUUCUCUCACUAAAAUCUCUUAAUCUCUUUAAUCUUUUCAUCUGAUUAUCCCUGAUUAGUUGAAUCAUGCUCUAAUACACAAAAGUAUAUACACUCUAUCUUGUAUCUCACGGUUGAGUCCACCAAGAAAUCGUGCCAUAGUAGCUUCACUGUCCUCAGAUACACAAGCUC
Molecule: long non-coding RNA, 535 nt
Filed under: Brassica napus (rape)
Lineage: Eukaryota; Viridiplantae; Streptophyta; Magnoliopsida; Brassicales; Brassicaceae
Description: long non-coding RNA (BNAP_LNC023248)
Source: RNAcentral